UUGAACGCUGGCGGCAGGCCUAACACAUGCAAGUCGAGCGGAUGAAGGGAGCUUGCUCCUGGAUUCAGCGGCGGACGGGUGAGUAAUGCCUAGGAAUCUGCCUGGUAGUGGGGGAUAACGUCCGGAAACGGGCGCUAAUACCGCAUACGUCCUGAGGGAGAAAGUGGGGGAUCUUCGGACCUCACGCUAUCAGAUGAGCCUAGGUCGGAUUAGCUAGUUGGUGGGGUAAAGGCCUACCAAGGCGACGAUCCGUAACUGGUCUGAGAGGAUGAUCAGUCACACUGGAACUGAGACACGGUCCAGACUCCUACGGGAGGCAGCAGUGGGGAAUAUUGGACAACGGGCGAAAGCCUGAUCCAGCCAUGCCGCGUGUGUGAAGAAGGUCUUCGGAUUGUAAAGCACUUUAAGUUGGGAGGAAGGGCAGUAAGUUAAUACCUUGCUGUUUUGACGUUACCAACAGAAUAAGCACCGGCUAACUUCGUG
This 483-nucleotide ribosomal RNA is filed under the name uncultured bacterium. RNAcentral describes it as "partial 16S ribosomal RNA". It matches the Rfam family "Bacterial small subunit ribosomal RNA", at positions 30 to 507 of the family's 1533-position model. The record is from RNAcentral.